Oreochromis niloticus (Nile tilapia) is the source of this 1749-nucleotide long non-coding RNA. Lineage: Eukaryota; Metazoa; Chordata; Actinopteri; Cichliformes; Cichlidae. The record is from Ensembl.
CAGCGUAUAUUGCGGGAUAGACAGGAUCCUUUAGCUCAGCGCGACGGUGUGCUCAUAGAGAGAUAUCGAUUCUCCCGUGAGGGUAUUAUUUACUUUUCUCUCUCACUCUCUCUCUCUCUCUCUCUCUCGAUAUAUAUAAAAUCUCCCAACUUACUGUGCAUGCUUCAGUCACCCCUUGCAUGGGAACAGGUAAAAGUGAUGGAGUGUUAUGUCAAACUACACACAAAAAACCCACAAUGUCAAUAAAUGGCACAGUACGUAAAGGGGUGUGACGAGGGGGUGCAGGACCACCACCUGUCUUUUAUUAGGAGUUGGUGGUAUGUGUGUUGGUGUUUCUGGGGUUUGUUUUCCUUUUUCUGCACAGGUAGGCGGGGGGCGGUGUUUGACGGCAUUCCGGCACACCUGCGGCGCAUCGGACGUCAUCAGUGGGAGCAUUUAGGGAGCUGAGUGAUGGACGUCUGAUGUCGGAUUAUUGUCGUUCCCACAAGUGGUAACAGUGCUGCUGCAAGUUUAGUCUGUUGGUUCCGUGCAUCUGAGCUACAUGUUUUAAGACUCAUCUCCUGCCUGCUUUUUUCUCUGCACCAGCCUGUCUCGCCGCCUGCUCGCCUGCCUGUUUCUCUGUGCGCUGGCCUAUUUGUUGGAUCUAUGACAGAGACUUACCUGGCGCUGGCCUGCGAUCGUUGUCUUGUCUGUAUCCUGGUGUUUCAAGUAGCUCUGGUUUGUCCAUCUAUCUGCUUGCAUAUCUCGGCUUCGUUCAUCCUCCUCGGCUCUGUUAUUUGCACAUUUACCUGGUCAUUGUAUAUAGCCCCGUUCCCUUGUAAAUAUUCCCUGAUCACUAUUAAUAAAUCUGCUUCACUGCUAUUCGGUGCCUGUGUGUUUCUGCCACUGAAUCCACUCGUUUAAAUGACCCUAACAUCUUUAUGUGCUCUGCCCUUUUCUUGGUUGCUGUUAUGAACAAACAAACAGAUUAUUUCAGGGUCUCUUGUCAUAGACUAAAAGCAAUAUAAGUGAUAAAUAUUACCAUUCUGUGGAAUAUUCUUAUAUUUCACUUUUACUUGUUCCCAUGUUCUAGUGGGUCCUGUUGUGGCUCUAAUGUGACAGAGGAUAUAAUGUAAUAUAAUAUAAUGUGGUAUAAUAUAAUAUCACAUGAUAUAAUGUAAUAUCAUGGAUCACUUACGAGUUUGAUUUGUCAGCAACUUUCUGCCAGCCCUCUCUCCUUGCUUUUGCAGCCUUUGCAGUGUUCCCCUGCGUUUUAAUUAAACUCUGAAACUCCUGAUAUCCCUCAAUCAAGAGUUCUUGCUCUGCUGCCGUAAUACACUGAGUGCGCUCCUUCCACAUCUUCGCCGACCAAUCACAGGGUUGCCGAUCAAUGUUUCUACUAUCGAUGCGUAGCCCCUUUUAAGCCACCCAGUGAUCUCAGAUUACUUAAUCCAGCUGUACUAAUCGUCAACAACAGGUGCGUUCGGAGAACCGGAUUAGCGAGCUCAAAGUUAGCGCGAUGAUUUGAUCUUGGAUGUGUCAUUUGAUCUUGGAUGUAGUAAGCGAGGUACGAAGAACAGGCCCCUGAUGUUCCGGGGUUACUUGUUUUCAAGGGCUCUUCACUGUCAUCUACACUGAUGACUUCUCUUAAACUUAUUAUUUAUUGGCAUUUGGGUUUUUUUUUGUUUUUUUUUUACAUUGUUUUUACGGGAUUGGCUAGAGUGACAGUAAAGUAAUUUUAUUCUAUUCUAUUACCUGCAGACCUGCUGU